This is a long non-coding RNA of Siniperca chuatsi (mandarin fish), 1999 nucleotides long. RefSeq lists it as uncharacterized. NCBI's taxonomy places the organism in Eukaryota, Metazoa, Chordata, Actinopteri, Centrarchiformes, Sinipercidae. The record is from RefSeq and is a predicted model, not a curated record. The transcript has 2 exons.
CUGCGUUUUUUUCCACAGACUCUGGUGUGGCAGCAGUGCUCUGCGGCUAAAACUGUGUUUUUUCCACAGACUCUGGUGUAGCAGCAGUGCUCUGCGGUUGGAUGAGUGUUCUUAGUGUUAUUUAACGUAAAGGAUGUUCAGAUGUCAGGAGGCGGAGGCAGUCAGGAGGCUUUCACAAGUGUGUAAAUGUGAGAUUGAAGCAAUGGAGACACCGCUGUGAGUCCGAGGACACAGAGUCCGAGCUGCAGAGGAUGUUGGUUCAUCAUCAGAGAGAAGAAGAAGAAGAACACUGUGUGAUGGAGGAGAGAGUGAGUGAAGAUUCAGGGAAGGAAACCCCAGUUUGUCCCUCUGAUGUAAUCUUUGGUAUUACAUUUAGACGUUUGCACAAUGAUCACAUCCUGUUCACAGAAAUAUCCCCCUUAAAGAGUACUGUACACCAAAUUCAGUUGUUUAACUCAGUAAAUGCGGCCACGUGUCUCACCGUUCAUUGUAGCAGCAGGUUUUUGUUCUCUUACAGACAAAAUCCAGGAAUUACGUCCUCUAGACCAAAAAAAUAAAAAUCUGUAAACAUCUGACGUGUUGUACUGCGUUACAUAACGUCACAUGACUGCAGAACCAAAAGUCAUAUUAGUUCUAUCAUUAGAAUGAUUUCAGGGUGUGCGUCCAAAUGUAACACAAAUUUUAACUGACUUUCCAGAAAAUGCUCAAGUGAAAAUGUGAAUUAAUGCUGGUAAGAUUAGUGGACUCUCGUCGUCAUGGUAACAAUAAGAACCAGGCGGUCAUGGUUUAAGAAACCAACGUUAACUGUUGGCAGGAAACAGGAAGUGAACAGCUGGUGUUACAGGCUGAUGUUGACCCAUCCAUCCAGCCCGACCUCUUUAACAACGUCACCUGACCUCCUCCUUUACUCCCGACACACGAGAGCCAUAACUCCUGCGGCCACUGGAGGGCGCUGUCGGUUGAACGUAAACAGAAGCUGCUUUGGGGCGCAUAAAAAGCUUCCGAGCAUAUUAAAAUAAACUGCAGCGAUGCAGCGUUUGGUCGAAAAGACGUAGCUCAAUGCUGGAAAUGUUCUGAAAAUACCUGCACUACCCCAACUCUGUUUCCAUGGCAGGUAAAAGACACUUGACACUCCACCUGUCCACACACGUGCAGUGAACCCCAUGACAGACUGCGGGGUGAGUUGUUCCAAACCGGAGACCGUGGCUAACUUCCUGCUCUGAAUAUGCAGCAUAUCUUCAAAGUCCUCGCACAGCAGCGGCCUACCUGCACAGGUGUCGUGUUUGGCCGAUUAGGCUAACACCUGUGUGUGCUUUAACUCUGCUGUGCUGGACAAACAUGGACAACUUAGACUUUUUAUCAGUGCAUGGACUUCAGUGACCUCAGGUAACUUCAGCCGGAGCAGAGGUCUGAGCACCUGUGGGGGCCGCAGGGCCUCAAAUAAAAUGCUCAAUGAAACAUAAAUCAGGGGAGAGUUCAAUUUUAAGAGUCUGACAACAGUUUCACAUCAUCGGCCUGCAGGAGGUCAGAGAGAGCGCUGAUGUCAUCACGAGGAGGUGUGACGUCACCCUGAUAAAUCUCUGCGUUCAACACACCUGCAGGCUGUCAGCUGUAAAGAUGCACCAGUAAAUACACAGAGCCGGCGGGUAGUUCAGGGGGGCCAGGGAGAAUGAAUAAUUGACAACACAUAUAUACACCACCUGUGGCUACUUCGCUGGGCAGGUAUCAAAUACGCAGCGCUGGGAACGCUGGGAGAGUUGUGCAUUCCCAGCAAGUAGACAGAGCCGGUGGGUAGUUCAGGCGUCCUGGGAUUGUUUGGUGGCAGCAGUAGCUCAGCUGGUAGUUCCCUGUCUCCGGUUCGGACCGCGGUACGGCGCGUGGACUCCUGAGCAAGGCACCAAACCCCUAACAGGUCGGGACGCCGUGUGUGUAUUUCGGGUGUGUGUGUGUAUUUCGGGUGUAUGUGUGUGUGUAAAAAAUAAUAAAGAAAGUAAUUCUU